This 253-nucleotide ribosomal RNA is filed under the name uncultured bacterium. RNAcentral describes it as "partial 16S ribosomal RNA". It matches the Rfam family "Bacterial small subunit ribosomal RNA", at positions 524 to 776 of the family's 1533-position model. The record is from RNAcentral.
UACGGAGGGUGCGAGCGUUAAUCGGAAUGACUGGGCGUAAAGCGUGCGUAGGUGGUAACGUUAGUCGGCCGUGAAAGCCCUGGGCUUAACCUGGGAAUGGCGGUUGAAACGGCGUAACUGGAGUGGGCUAGAGGACUGUGGAACUCCCGGUGUAGCGGUGAAAUGCGUAGAGAUCGGGAAGAACACCGAUGGCGAAGGCAGCGGUCUGGGGCCACACUGACGCUGAGGCGCGAAAGCGUGGGGAGCAAACAGG